UCAUAAGCGGAAGGAAAAGAAACCAACAGGGAUUGCCUUAGUAACGGCGAGUGAAGCGGCAAAAGCUCAAAUUUGAAAUCUGGCAGCAAUGUCCGAGUUGUAAUUUGAAGAGAGUAACUUUGAGUUGGGUCCUGCAUAUGUUCCUUGGAACAGGACGUCAUAGAGGGUGAGAAUCCCGUUUCUGUGAGGUGACCCUUCUCUUGUAAAGUGCCCUCGAAGAGUCGAGUUGUUUGGGAAUGCAGCUCUAAGUGGGUGGUAAAUUCCAUCUAAAGCUAAAUAUUGGCGAGAGACCGAUAGCGAACAAGUACAGUGAUGGAAAGAUGAAAAGAACUUUGAAAAGAGAGUGAAAAAGUACGUGAAAUUGUUGAAAGGGAAGGGCUUGAAAUCAGACUUGGUAUUCAGUGAUCAACUUUCUUUCGGGAAUGUGCACUCGCUGUUUACUGGGCCAGUAUCGGUUUUGGCGGUGGGAUAAUGGUAUAGGAAUGUGGCUCCUCGGAGUGUUAUAGCCUAUAUUGAUACCACCAGCUGGGACCGAGGACCGCGCUUUUAGCUAGGAUACUGGCGUAAUGAUUUUAAGCCACCCGUCUUGAAACACGGACCAAGGAGUCUAACGUCUAUGCGAGUGUUUGGGUGUAAAACCCGUACGCGUAAUGAAAGUGAAUGUAGGUGAGAGCUUCGGCGCAUCAUCGACCGAUCCUGAUGUUUUCGGAUGGAUUUGAGUAAGAGCAUAGCUGUUGGGACCCGAAAGAUGGUGAACUAUGCCUGAAUAGGGUGAAGCCAGAGGAAACUCUGGUGGGAGGCUCGUAGCGGUUCUGACGUGCAAAUCGAUCGUCAAAUUUGGGUAUAGGGCGAAAGACU
RNAcentral lists this ribosomal RNA (858 nucleotides) under Sugiyamaella paludigena. Its description in RNAcentral is "LSU rRNA". It matches the Rfam family "Eukaryotic large subunit ribosomal RNA", at positions 43 to 932 of the family's 3401-position model. The record is from RNAcentral. Lineage: Eukaryota; Fungi; Ascomycota; Dipodascomycetes; Dipodascales; Trichomonascaceae.